RNAcentral lists this ribosomal RNA (253 nucleotides) under uncultured bacterium. Its description in RNAcentral is "partial 16S ribosomal RNA". It matches the Rfam family "Bacterial small subunit ribosomal RNA", at positions 524 to 776 of the family's 1533-position model. The record is from RNAcentral.
UACGAAGGGGACUAGCGUUGUUCGGAAUUACUGGGCGUAAAGCGCACGUAGGCGGAUUUGUAAGUCAGGGGUGAAAUCCCGGGGCUCAACCUCGGAACUGCCUUUGAUACUGCAAGUCUCGAGUCCGAUAGAGGUGGGUGGAAUUCCUAGUGUAGAGGUGAAAUUCGUAGAUAUUAGGAAGAACACCGGUGGCGAAGGCGGCCCACUGGAUCGGUACUGACGCUGAGGUGCGAAAGCGUGGGGAGCAAACAGG